Molecule: long non-coding RNA, 256 nt
Filed under: Lathyrus oleraceus (garden pea)
Lineage: Eukaryota; Viridiplantae; Streptophyta; Magnoliopsida; Fabales; Fabaceae
Description: Pisum sativum (pea) long non-coding RNA (PSAT_LNC019392)
Source: RNAcentral
AAUUACAAAUGAAUUAAAUAGUAAGAACUAAAUGCUAACAAAAUCAUAAAGAAAAGACAAUUUAAAUUGAUUAAAAAAUGCAAAAGAAAUAAAACAAAAAGAUAGAAAAAAAAUCGAAAAAUGCAUAAAAUGAGAAAUGGUGGUAGGCAAGUAUUGAACUCAGAACACAAGGGUUGUGAGGCGGGAGCCUCAAUCACUCCCCCAUGGUACACUAUCUAUCAAACAUGGAAAAUGCGUGAUAUAUAAAAAAGAAAAC